This 240-nucleotide long non-coding RNA is filed under the name Elaeis guineensis (African oil palm). Its description in RNAcentral is "long non-coding RNA (EGUI_LNC056534)". Lineage: Eukaryota; Viridiplantae; Streptophyta; Magnoliopsida; Arecales; Arecaceae. The record is from RNAcentral.
UCCGAAUUAGUAGGAGAUAUGCAUCAGUGUAUUUCAAUUUCACAAAAUUUGGACCUGGAUAAUCCAUAUGAUGGAUUUAAAAAAGAUUAAAAUACAAUGUAGAAGAUUUUUCUAGGAUUAACAGUUAAAUCUUUAGUCGUCCUUGAGCAUUAGGGUCAAAAGAAUGAAUUAUACGGUAACCAUACGCCAAUAGGUUCUUGAAUGUUGCUUCGCCUUCAUUCGACCUAUCCAGACGUUGGG